RNAcentral lists this transfer RNA (69 nucleotides) under Forficula auricularia (European earwig). RNAcentral describes it as "tRNA-Leu". Lineage: Eukaryota; Metazoa; Arthropoda; Insecta; Dermaptera; Forficulidae. The record is from RNAcentral.
GGUUUAGGAUGGCAAAGAGAGUGCCUUGGGUUUAAGCCUCAAAUACAAGAUGAAAUGUCUUUCCUAAAA